Molecule: ribosomal RNA, 1420 nt
Filed under: Olivibacter oleidegradans
Lineage: Bacteria; Pseudomonadati; Bacteroidota; Sphingobacteriia; Sphingobacteriales; Sphingobacteriaceae
Description: 16S ribosomal RNA
Rfam family: Bacterial small subunit ribosomal RNA
Source: RNAcentral
GCUCAGGAUGAACGCUAGCGGCAGGCCUAUACAUGCAAGUCGAACGGGAUCGGGGGCUUCGGUCCCCGUGAGAGUGGCGCACGGGUGCGUAACGCGUGAGCAACCUGCCCGUCCCAGGGGGAUAGCCCGGAGAAAUCCGGAUUAAUACCGCAUGAGAAUGCAGGUCCGCAUGGGCCUUCGUUUAAAUAUUCAUAGGGGACGGAUGGGCUCGCGUGACAUUAGCUUGUUGGCGGGGUAACGGCCCACCAAGGCGACGAUGUCUAGGGGCUCUGAGAGGAGAAACCCCCACACUGGUACUGAGACACGGACCAGACUCCUACGGGAGGCAGCAGUAAGGAAUAUUGGUCAAUGGGGGGAACCCUGAACCAGCCAUGCCGCGUGCAGGAAGACGGCCCUACGGGUUGUAAACUGCUUUUGCACGAGAAUAACCCCGGUAUGUAUACCGGGCUGAAUGUACCGUGAGAAUAAGGAUCGGCUAACUCCGUGCCAGCAGCCGCGGUAAUACGGAGGAUCCGAGCGUUAUCCGGAAUUAUUGGGUUUAAAGGGUGCGUAGGCGGCGCGCUAAGUCAGGGGUGAAAGACGGUGGCUCAACCAUCGCAGUGCCUUUGAUACUGGCGCGCUUGAAUUGUACCUGAGGUAGGCGGAAUGUGGCAAGUAGCGGUGAAAUGCAUAGAUAUGCCACAGAACACCGAUUGCGAAGGCAGCUUACCAAAGUACGAUUGACGCUGAGGCACGAAAGCGUGGGGAUCGAACAGGAUUAGAUACCCUGGUAGUCCACGCCCUAAACGAUGAACACUCGAUGUCGGCGAUAGACUGGUCGGCGUCCAAGCGAAAGCGUUAAGUGUUCCACCUGGGAGUACGCCCGCAAGGGUGAAACUCAAAGGAAUUGACGGGGGCCCGCACAAGCGGAGGAGCAUGUGGUUUAAUUCGAUGAUACGCGAGGAACCUUACCCGGGCUUGAAAGUUACUGAAUUGUCCAGAGAUGGACAAGGUCCUUCGGGACAGGAAACUAGGUGCUGCAUGGCUGUCGUCAGCUCGUGCCGUGAGGUGUUGGGUUAAGUCCCGCAACGAGCGCAACCCCUAUGUUUAGUUGCCAGCACGUCAAGGUGGGGACUCUAAACAGACUGCCUGUGCAAACAGAGAGGAAGGCGGGGACGACGUCAAGUCAUCAUGGCCCUUACGUCCGGGGCUACACACGUGCUACAAUGGGGGGUACAGAGGGCAGCGACACCGCGAGGUGAAGCCAAUCUCAGAAAGCCCCUCACAGUUCGGAUCGGGGUCUGCAACUCGACCCCGUGAAGUUGGAUUCGCUAGUAAUCGCGUAUCAGCAAUGACGCGGUGAAUACGUUCCCGGGCCUUGUACACACCGCCCGUCAAGCCAUGAAAGCCGGGGGUACCUAAAGCAUGUAACCGCAAGGAG